GUCCUAGCCGUAAACGAUGGGCACUAGGUGUGGGAGGUAUCGACCCCUUCCGUGCCGCAGCUAACGCAUUAAGUGCCCCGCCUGGGGAGUACGGCCGCAAGGUUGAAACUCAAAGGAAUUGACGGGGGCCCCGCACAAGCGGUGGAGCAUGUGGUUUAAUUCGACGCAACGCGAAGAACCUUACCGGGGCUUGAACUGCACUGGACUGCCCUAGAAAUAGGGUUUCCCCGCAAGGGGCUGGUGUAGAGGUGCUGCAUGGCUGUCGU
RNAcentral lists this ribosomal RNA (266 nucleotides) under uncultured bacterium. Its description in RNAcentral is "partial 16S ribosomal RNA". It matches the Rfam family "Bacterial small subunit ribosomal RNA", at positions 793 to 1055 of the family's 1533-position model. The record is from RNAcentral.